This 479-nucleotide ribosomal RNA is filed under the name uncultured bacterium. Its description in RNAcentral is "partial 16S ribosomal RNA". It matches the Rfam family "Bacterial small subunit ribosomal RNA", at positions 28 to 507 of the family's 1533-position model. The record is from RNAcentral.
GAUGAACGCUCGCGGGAGGCCUAACACAUGCAAGCCGAGCGGUAUCGUUUCUUCGGAUAUGAGUGAGCGGCGUACGGGUGCGUAACACGUGUGCAACCUGCCUUUAUCUGGGGGAUAGCCUUUCGAAAGGAAGAUUAAUACUCCAUAAUCUAUUGAACGGCAUCGUUUAAUAUCGAAAGAUCUUGCGACUAGGGACGAUCACGCGCAAGAUUAGCUAGUUGGUUAGGUAACGGCUUACCAAGGCGAUGAUCCUUCGGGGGCCUGAGAGGGUGAUCCCCCACACUGGUACUGAGACACGGACCAGACUCCUACGGGAGGCAGCAGUGAGGAAUACUGGGCAAUGGGUGCAAGCCUGAACCAGCCAUCCCGCGUGAAGGACGACUGCCCUAUGGGUUGUAAACUUCUUUUGUAUAGGGAUAAACCUACCCUCGAGAGGGUAGCUGAAGGUACUAUACGAAUAAGCACCGGCUAACUCCGUG